RNAcentral lists this ribosomal RNA (409 nucleotides) under Bacillus sp. R-32661. RNAcentral describes it as "bacterial SSU rRNA". It matches the Rfam family "Bacterial small subunit ribosomal RNA", at positions 10 to 421 of the family's 1533-position model. Lineage: Bacteria; Bacillati; Bacillota; Bacilli; Caryophanales; Bacillaceae. The record is from RNAcentral.
AGUUUGAUCCUGGCUCAGGACGAACGCUGGCGGCGUGCCUAAUACAUGCAAGUCGAGCGAACCACUUCGGUGGUUAGCGGCGGACGGGUGAGUAACACGUGGGCAACCUGCCUGUAAGACUGGGAUAACUUCGGGAAACCGGAGCUAAUACCGGAUAAUCCUUUUCCUCUCAUGAGGRAAAGCUGAAAGACGGUUUCGGCUGUCACUUACAGAUGGGCCCGCGGCGCAUUAGCUAGUUGGUGAGGUAACGGCUCACCAAGGCGACGAUGCGUAGCCGACCUGAGAGGGUGAUCGGCCACACUGGGACUGAGACACGGCCCAGACUCCUACGGGAGGCAGCAGUAGGGAAUCUUCCACAAUGGACGAAAGUCUGAUGGAGCAACGCCGCGUGAGCGAUGAAGGCCUUCGG